AGGUUUAAACAAAGAACAGCUCAAGCACUCGCGAUGGAACGGAUCCACCGUGCUCACCCUGGAGGUCAAAGGUCACACUGCUGUAAUGUCAGGAUCUCGGUGACCUCCCAGGUGCCUGAGGUCAGGUGACGCACGCUGACCUCUUCACCUUCAGGCUGAAAGCAGAAGAGGUCUUGUUUCGUCCGACACAAGAGAGACAGAGAUUGAGAAUGUGAUCUUCCUCACCAGAAACCCACUGAGCUUCGAGAUCCUGAUCCUGCAGCUCACUGGAGAAAAGGUCAUCCAGGGUCAGACAGGAUCCCAGAGUGUGCGGUGAAUCUCAGUGAAGCGGAUCCUGAUGAAGAAGACGCUGCGAGUGUGUGUGUUAUCCCAGCGCUGCGAGUGUGUGUGUUAUCCCA
Pimephales promelas (fathead minnow) is the source of this 398-nucleotide non-coding RNA. The record is from RefSeq and is a predicted model, not a curated record. NCBI's taxonomy places the organism in Eukaryota, Metazoa, Chordata, Actinopteri, Cypriniformes, Leuciscidae.